AUAUAACGACCACAUCAUCAUCAAGCGGACGGGAGGCAGCUGUACACGUCCAAAGAAUGGGUGUCAGGGUAGGAUAGCGGUGAAAAAAACAGAGCUUGCUGGAAUUGUCCUUUUCUGAUAGCCAAGAUCAGUAAGGGUUGACAAAAUGGUGAGUUGGAUGGCAUGAUUCAGGAUAGAAACAUGUCUAUCACCGAAAAAUGGGUGGGGCUGACGAAAAAUAUAUCUAUGCGAUACGUGAGCAUCAAUCCUGCAAAUGGUGUCUCAAAAACUAGGUGCCAUGGCAUCACUUCGCUGCGACACAGAUGACGCCAAACACCGAAAAGAAGGUAUGCAAAGCUCGAGGGUGCAGGUAGUAGAUCAAAACCGAUGCCACCUACACUCAAAAAAUCAACCAUUAGCGAUAAGAUAAAAAUCUAUAUGCGUGCUAUGCAGCAAUCAAGUGGACCAAACCGACUAGACUCUAGACUAGCGAUUCUAACGCUCGUGCGGGCUAGGACUUCCUACAACCAAACCUGCUCUGAUACCAAUCUUGUAGCACCCCGACCCAGAGAGAUUGAAACACCCCGCAUUCCAUCCCAGAGAUUAAGUCUUCUAGAAUAUGACACUAUUUGGCAUAGAACAAAUCAGCUCUUUAUUACAAAUACUCGGGGAUGCAAGGGUUUCAAUAUGACAAGGAAUUACAUCAGCACGGAGGCACUACGCGUGCUCAGGUAGCUCUAUGCUAGCAGCAGAAUAACUUCUAGGAGCGGAACAACGAUGACAAUGAUGAAUGCCACUCGGCAGGGACUCUCGCUGGAACACUUAUCCUAUCUCACCAACUCAUCAAGCAAUCAAUAAUGGCAUGACCU
RNAcentral lists this long non-coding RNA (848 nucleotides) under Hordeum vulgare. Its description in RNAcentral is "long non-coding RNA (HVUL_LNC013127)". The record is from RNAcentral. Lineage: Eukaryota; Viridiplantae; Streptophyta; Magnoliopsida; Poales; Poaceae.